Molecule: non-coding RNA, 30 nt
Filed under: Rattus norvegicus (Norway rat)
Lineage: Eukaryota; Metazoa; Chordata; Mammalia; Rodentia; Muridae
Source: RNAcentral
UGAGACAAAACAGUCUACGUGANAGGGGAU